AUUGAACGCUGGCGGCAUGCUUUACACAUGCAAGUCGAACGGUAACAGGCCGCAAGGUGCUGACGAGUGGCGAACGGGUGAGUAAUGCAUCGGAACGUGCCCGGUCGUGGGGGAUAACACUUCGAAAGAAGUGCUAAUACCGCAUACGAUCUGAGGAUGAAAGCGGGGGACCGUAAGGCCUCGCGCGAUCGGAGCGGCCGAUGUCAGAUUAGGUAGUUGGUGGGGUAAAGGCUCACCAAGCCAACGAUCUGUAGCUGGUCUGAGAGGACGACCAGCCACACUGGGACUGAGACACGGCCCAGACUCCUACGGGAGGCGGCAGUGGGGAAUUUUGGACAAUGGGCGCAAGCCUGAUCCAGCAAUGCCGCGUGCAGGAAGAAGGCCUUCGGGUUGUAAACUGCUUUUGUACGGAACGAAACGGUCCGGGUUAAUACCCUGGGCUAAUGACGGUACCGUAGAAUAAGCACCGGCUAACUACGUGCCAGCCGCCGCAGUAA
This 497-nucleotide ribosomal RNA is filed under the name uncultured bacterium. RNAcentral's name for it is "partial 16S ribosomal RNA". It matches the Rfam family "Bacterial small subunit ribosomal RNA", at positions 30 to 523 of the family's 1533-position model. The record is from RNAcentral.